ACGGCUAUACCAUGCUGAAUACACCGGUUCUCGUUAGAUCACCGAAGUCAAGCAUCAUUGGGCGCGGUCGCAGUACUUGGGUGGGUGACCACCUGGAAACACCGCGU
This 107-nucleotide ribosomal RNA is filed under the name Caerostris extrusa. The record is from RNAcentral. Lineage: Eukaryota; Metazoa; Arthropoda; Arachnida; Araneae; Araneidae.